Long non-coding RNA from Cynocephalus volans (Philippine flying lemur), 2075 nucleotides. RefSeq lists it as uncharacterized. The transcript is spliced from 3 exons. NCBI's taxonomy places the organism in Eukaryota, Metazoa, Chordata, Mammalia, Dermoptera, Cynocephalidae. The record is from RefSeq and is a predicted model, not a curated record.
CUUUCGCGGUCGCUCUUCGGCCUGCUGAACCGUCGCCGCUGUCUGGAGCCCGAGAGUCGCGAAGAGGACGGCGCAGGGAAAUGCGAGCGUGGUGCGGCUCUUUUUGAGUGAUGGAGCCGCAAGGGGCCUGAAGACCUCUGGGCCAACCCCCCUUCUUUCCCAGUUUACAGAGGGAAACUGAGGCCGGGGGCGGGGCGCGGGCAGGAUUUGGCGACAUCUCUCGGCGAGGCGUGAGCAGGCGGGGAUUCGUGCGCCGCUGACCCCAGGCUUCCCGACUCCAGGGCUGGGGUUGUCCGUGGCCUCGCCGCACCGGCUGGCACCCUGGCGAGGCGCGCGCCCGCAGCAGGUGGCGCGUCCUGCAGCGUCGUCGCCCCCGGCCCCCGCAGUGACCCUCUCCCUUCUGUGACGUCAGGCGCCCAGCACAGGGCGCGGGUCCGGGGACAGGAGCGGGAGUCGGAGAAAGGACCCCACGGUGUGUUUAGUGCCACAAAAGCUGGGAAAACUGAGGCACUUACCUGAAUGCAAACUGUUUCCAGUGGAACAGCUGGGAUGCUUACCUAGGCCCUCUGAAGAGAGAGCCCAUGGUCUUCGGCCCCAUGCCCCUCCUGGAUCUGCCAUGGCCUCUGGAGGGCGCCAGCGAGGGCCAGUGAAGAGCUGAGAGUCAUGAGACCAGGCAUGUGUGCACACCAGGUGGACUUGCCUCACAGGACCCAAACCGUGCCAGGCCCUCUGCCCCCCCGGGCUGUUGGGAAUGCUCCGUCUUCUCUUGGAUAGCUCAGGCUCACCCUCUGGUCUCCAGUUGAGAUUCCCUCCUUGGAGAACCCUCCUCUGACCCCCCAGCUAAUUCGUGGCUACCUCCAACCCCAAGGCCCUGUCUGUGGCCAGGUAUCACUCCACUGUCUUGAAGUUUGUUUCCUGCCUGGUUCUCUCACCAGACAUCGGCCUUCCAGGCAGGGCUAAGUCCUGCUCAUCUCGAGUGCUCUCAAGCAUCUCAGGGUCCCCAGCACAGAGGAGAGAAGCCACUGAACUGUGAGAUCAGUGUGCACCCUGCACUGCAGGUCCCAUUCACACUCAGUAAAGGAAAGAGGCCAGGCCAGCCGGGAGCCCCUUGCCAGCAUCCCUGACCUCUCCCUGGGUCUGCAGAGGCUUCCCCCGCCAGACCCCAAAUUGCUUCUUUGAUGAGCAGUGUGGCUGGGCUCAACUGGGGCUUGGUGUAGAAAGAAGGUGUCUCUCUGGAAACCUCACUGUGUGGAAAUCCUGCAAGUCCGAGGCACGCGGGGGCAACGGCGGUGUUCAGAACCUCCAGCAUCCUCUUGCCAAAGCUGCAGGUCUCUUUGUCCUUUCUCCACCUCCGAAUACAGCCCAGGAAUUGAUUUCCUUCUCAGCCAAACAGUGAAGCAAACGAAAUGGGAUUUCACUGUGGGACUUUCUAACCGCUCAGUAAUUCAGAACCACGUGAAACCAGGAGUAAAGACAGCGGCUGACUCGCAGCUCAGAGCCCUUCUGCAGCACAGGCCCGCACCCGAUGUCAGCUAAGUCAGGCCCAACCUCCCCACCGCACACCUGCGCUCACCUGAAGCCUCAGGCAGGUUACCGUGGGGAGUGUGCUGCCACGGCGUCCACGUGCAUGGUGGUCCCUGGCGGCCGAGUCGAUUGCACAGUUUCAGCUGCCCAGCUGACUCGGCAGUGUUUUGCCACCCCAGAGCAAUCAUGAGAGGUUGUUCAUUGCAAUGAUGGAACCAAGAGGGAUAGACAGGCCAGAUUCUGGAAAUGACUCACACCGUGCAAGGCCUGGAUUUGGCCAGUCAUCAGAAAGCCCUUCCUCUGAUUAAGCUUUGUGCUGUGCAGAAGAAACGGACGCGGGGUCAGGAGCACGUGGGGGAACUGAGAGUGGGAGAGGAAAGCAAGCGGCAAGCUCAGAGCACCCAAUUUUUUAUCAGGAGCCACCACUCCUCCCCCAUGCAGCCCAUGGACCUCACAGAAAGCUGACCCCACCCCCAGCUAGGAGGUUGGCUCUGUGAGUCUAAGGGUGACCCCAUCACCCUGGAGAUUGAGAUGGGCUACAUCAACCAGCA